Molecule: ribosomal RNA, 776 nt
Filed under: uncultured bacterium
Lineage: Bacteria
Description: bacterial SSU rRNA
Rfam family: Bacterial small subunit ribosomal RNA
Source: RNAcentral
CGGCGACGAGAUUUCGGUCAAAUCAAGUGUAUCUUUAUUGGCGGACGGGUGAGUAACGCGUGGGUAACCUGCCAUAUACAGGGGGAUAACACUUAGAAAUAGGUGCUAAUACCGCAUAAGCGCACAUGGCCGCAUGGCCAGGUGUGAAAAACUCCGGUGGUAUAUGAUGGACCCGCGUCUGAUUAGCUAGUUGGUGAGGUAACGGCCCACCAAGGCGACGAUCAGUAGCCGGCCUGAGAGGGUGGACGGCCACAUUGGGACUGAGACACGGCCCAAACUCCUACGGGAGGCAGCAGUGGGGGAUAUUGGACAAUGGGGGGAACCCUGAUCCAGCGACGCCGCGUGAGUGAAGAAGUAUCUCGGUAUGUAAAGCUCUAUCAGCAGGGAAGAAAGAAAUGACGGUACCUGAGUAAGAAGCCCCGGCUAACUACGUGCCAGCAGCCGCGGUAAUACGUAGGGGGCAAGCGUUAUCCGGAAUUACUGGGUGUAAAGGGAGCGUAGACGGUGAUGUAAGUCUGGAGUGAAAGGCGGGGGCCCAACCCCCGGACUGCUCUGGAAACUAUAUGACUGGAGUGCAGGAGAGGUGAGCGGAAUUCCUAGUGUAGCGGUGAAAUGCGUAGAUAUUAGGAGGAACACCAGUGGCGAAGGCGGCUCACUGGACUGUAACUGACGUUGAGGCUCGAAAGCGUGGGGAGCAAACAGGAUUAGAUACCCUGGUAGUCCACGCCGUAAACGAUGAUCACUAGGUGUGGGUGGGUAUGGACCCAUCGGUGCCG